UAGAUUUGUUGUGCCUCUGAACUGAAGUA
Molecule: non-coding RNA, 29 nt
Filed under: Mus musculus (house mouse)
Lineage: Eukaryota; Metazoa; Chordata; Mammalia; Rodentia; Muridae
Source: RNAcentral